UACAGAGGUCUCAAGCGUUGUUCGGAUUCAUUGGGCGUAAAGGGUGUGUAGGCGGCGCCGUAAGUCGGGUGUGAAAUUUCGGAGCUUAACUCCGAAACUGCAUUCGAUACUGCGGUGCUUGAGGACUGGAGAGGAGACUGGAAUUCAUGGUGUAGCAGUGAAAUGCGUAGAGAUCAUGAGGAAGACCAGUGGCGAAGGCGGGUCUCUGGACCGGAACUGACGCUGAGGUGCGAAAGCGUGGGGAGCAAACAGG
RNAcentral lists this ribosomal RNA (253 nucleotides) under uncultured bacterium. RNAcentral describes it as "partial 16S ribosomal RNA". It matches the Rfam family "Bacterial small subunit ribosomal RNA", at positions 524 to 776 of the family's 1533-position model. The record is from RNAcentral.